GAUGAACGCUAGCGGCAGGCCUAACACAUGCAAGUCGAGGGAGGAGCCUGCGGGCUUCGACCGGCGUACGGGUGCGUAACGCGUAUACAAUCUGCCUUUCACAUAGGGAUAGCUCGGAGAAAUUUGGAUUAAUACCUAAUGGUAUAUAAAUGUGGCAUCACCUUUAUAUUAAAGCUGAGGCGGUGAAAGAUGGGUAUGCGUUCUAUUAGCUAGUUGGAGAGGUAACGGCUCGGCAAGGCGACGAUAGAUGGGGGUGCUGAGAGGGAUAUCCCCCACACUGGUACUACGGUACGGACCAGAAUCGUACGGGACGCAGCAGUGAGGAAUACAGGACGCUGGUCGCAAGACUGAUCCAGCCAUGCCGGGUGCAGGAAGACUGCCUUAGGGGUUGUAAUCUGCUUUUGCAGGAGAAGAAUAGGUACUACGCGUAGUUUGAUGACGGUACUCUGAGAAUAAGCAUCGGCUAACUUCGUG
RNAcentral lists this ribosomal RNA (474 nucleotides) under uncultured bacterium. RNAcentral's name for it is "partial 16S ribosomal RNA". It matches the Rfam family "Bacterial small subunit ribosomal RNA", at positions 28 to 507 of the family's 1533-position model. The record is from RNAcentral.